RNAcentral lists this ribosomal RNA (294 nucleotides) under uncultured bacterium. RNAcentral describes it as "partial 16S ribosomal RNA". It matches the Rfam family "Bacterial small subunit ribosomal RNA", at positions 775 to 1067 of the family's 1533-position model. The record is from RNAcentral.
GGAUUAGAUACCCUGGUAGUCCACGCCGUAAACGAUGUCAACUAGCCGUUGGGUCCAUCUAAGGGCUUAGUGGCGCAGCUAACGCGAUAAGUUGACCGCCUGGGGAGUACGGCCGCAAGGUUAAAACUCAAAGGAAUUGACGGGGGCCCGCACAAGCGGUGGAGCAUGUGGUUUAAUUCGAUGCAACGCGAAGAACCUUACCAGCUCUUGACAUCCAGUGAACUUUCCAGAGAUGGAUUGGUGCCUUCGGGAACACUGUGACAGGUGCUGCAUGGCUGUCGUCAGCUCGUGCCG